RNAcentral lists this unclassified non-coding RNA (254 nucleotides) under uncultured bacterium. RNAcentral describes it as "contains 16S-23S intergenic spacer region". It matches the Rfam family "Bacterial small subunit ribosomal RNA", at positions 524 to 776 of the family's 1533-position model. The record is from RNAcentral.
UACGGGGGGUGCAAGCGUUAUUCGGAUUUAUUGGGCGUAAAGGGCGCGUAGGCGGCUAAGCAAGUCUGAUGUGAAAACUCCAUCGCUCAACGAGGAGACUGCAUUGGAAACUGCAUAGCUUGAGUGCGAGAGAGGUAAGCAGAAUGCCUGGUGUAGCGGUGGAAUGCGUAGAUAUCAGGCAGAAUACCAGUGGCGAAGGCGGCUUACUGGCUCGUAACUGACGCUGAGGCGCGAAAGCGUGGGUAGCAAACGGG